This is a long non-coding RNA of Brachypodium distachyon (stiff brome), 2020 nucleotides long. RefSeq lists it as uncharacterized. The record is from RefSeq and is a predicted model, not a curated record. Lineage: Eukaryota; Viridiplantae; Streptophyta; Magnoliopsida; Poales; Poaceae. The transcript has 7 exons.
GAUAUCUGUUCCCACGAUCCCCACACCCACCACCACCCCCAAAUCGUGUGCGUGCGGUUCGGGUCGGUGCGGCCGGCGGCGAGCGGCUGCAGCCCAAAUUGCGGCGCACAAGAGCACACGCGUGGCGGCGGUUGGCUGCGCGGCGGUGCGGCUCGACCCAAGGCGGCUGGGGCGGCGGCUUCGAAAACAAGCUCUAGCGGGACGCCUACCGCGAGCUCGCCGAGCGCAAGGCCUCUUCCUCCACCGCCUCCAUCUCUCCCGCUACCCUGCAGUCCAAAUUGCAGCGAGCCAAGGCGGCGCCGGCUGAGGAAGGAGCAGUCGGUGGCCGCUGAUAGGAGCGGCGCGCGAGAGCAGACCUGUGGCGGCUGGCUACGCGCUGGCGCCGGCUCGGGCGGCGGCUGGUGGCUCGGACGCGGUCGGCCACGGCGUCCUGCCCUCUCCACGUCCCCAGCUUCUCUCGCCGCCGCGCCUCAUCCAGCUCCUCGCGCGUCCUCCAGCGCCUCCGGUAUCCACUGACGCAGCCCCUGUCUCUUUCCGAUCCCCCAAGGCGAACCAAUCGAUUCCGCCUCGGCCGCCGACCGCGGCAUACACUGCCCCCCGUCUCGCCGCCGCUGGGCUCCGCGGCCGCUCUGAUUCGGCCCCCAUCUUCCCCAAGUUCUCAUGCAUGGUGUUCUGGAGAGCGGGCAGGACAUCGCGGUGAAGAAGCUGUUGCUGGAGUCACGGCAAGGUCUGCGGGAGUUCUUCCACGAGGUCUGCCUGCUAGCUCUAGGUACAACACUGGAACCUUGUCUCCCUGCUGGGCUGCUGCGCCGCUACCGGUCACAAGAUGCUCGUCUACCCAUUAUUCUCCGACGACACAGCGUCGACCAGACCACAUUCUCUUCGGGAGCAAUUACAAAGAGGAUGACAGCAAUUGAGGAGCUGGCUGGCAUUGAUGUUCUUUGCAGUGAGAAGACAAGGACACUAACCUUGAACAAGUUGAUUGUGGACAAGAAUCUUAUAGAGAAAAUCAGGUUGAUAUAGAUGCCACGAUGGUUGGUGUGCUUGCAGUUCCCAAGGAAGUAUAUCCAACAUCAUUUAUAUUUGUGAUAUAUAUUGAAAACUGAUUAGUAUUAGUCACUUUACAGAAUCUGCAAGUGAAUAUGAUCAAGUUUAACUCAAAUAUGAACACCUCACUAUACAGGCCUGCAAGUCAAUAAUUCAUAUAUCAACCAUCACCUCGUUGUUAGGCUAGCCAGAUCAGCUAAAUCACAGUAUUUUCUCAUGUCUAGCAUAGCUUCAGCACUAUUUCAAUGCAUAACCAAACACUCAUACAAUACCAAAGUUAUUGCAUUCUAUCGUCAUCUUACCUAUCCAAUAACUUUUCGUUUUCUUCAAAAUAGUGCAAAUGAAGGGCCUUCACCUUCUCGGCAUAGUAAACCAAUUGCAGUUGCAGUGAAGAAUACUCGGGGAAGUUUGCAUAAGACAUCCGUACAGCUUCUCCUAUAUUGCAGUGGUUUGUGAUACAAUCAUUCAUGAUGAUUUUCAAACAGUAACUGGUAAACAGUUUGAAGAUUUCUCUGAAUGGCCAAUUUGGAGCAAGUGCCCCGACAACUUACACUGGGCAACUCAUGUGCAUCAUUAGCAAAGAGGUUUUUGUGCCACUAUAAUGGCAAAGAGAGUCGGCUUCGUUGUAGCACUGAACUGUCAAAGGAGAAUCGGUAUAGGGCUGAAGAUCUCUUAGAUCUCAUCUUCCAUGAUUUGAGCGAAGUCAGGCCUUUACCUGAUGCUCUGGAGAAGUUACGGCCCAUGAUAACCCACACGUGAGAAACUUGUUUUGAAGCUCCGAUUGUUCAUCCUCCCCCUAAGAACUAAGUUGCACAUCUGUAUAUAGCAGAAUGUUUCCUUUUGUAGUGUCCACGUCCAUGUAAAUGUAUUUUGCUUUUAUUGAUGUUUCCUUUGUAUUGGCAAACCUGCAACAAAACAUAUCCUGGUCCUCGAAAUGUUUGCAGUGAAUGAAUGAUGCAUGGUUUCAACGUUA